ACGAACGCUGGCGGCGUGCUUCACACAUGCACGUCGAACGGAAAGGCCCUGCUUUUGUGGGGUGCUCGAGUGGCGAACGGGUGAGUAACACGUGAGUAACCUGCCCUUGACUUUGGGAUAACUUCAGGAAACUGGGGCUAAUACCGGAUAGGAGCUCCUGCUGCAUGGUGGGGGUUGGAAAGUUUCGGCGGUUGGGGAUGGACUCGCGGCUUAUCAGCUUGUUGGUGGGGUAGUGGCUUACCAAGGCUUUGACGGGUAGCCGGCCUGAGAGGGUGACCGGCCACAUUGGGACUGGGAUACGGCCCAGACUCCUACGGGAGGCAGCAGUGGGGAAUAUUGCACAAUGGGCGGAAGCCUGAUGCAGCAACGCCGCGUGCGGGAUGACGGCCUUCGGGUUGUAAACCGCUUUCGCCUGUGACGAAGCGUGAGUGACGGUAAUGGGUAAAGAAGCACCGGCUAACUACGUG
RNAcentral lists this ribosomal RNA (467 nucleotides) under uncultured bacterium. RNAcentral describes it as "partial 16S ribosomal RNA". It matches the Rfam family "Bacterial small subunit ribosomal RNA", at positions 29 to 507 of the family's 1533-position model. The record is from RNAcentral.